GUCCCUGUAGCGUAGUGGAUAGCGCAUCGGACUUCUAAUCUGUGAAGACCCCGGGUUCGAAUCCCGGCAAUGAUA
RNAcentral lists this transfer RNA (75 nucleotides) under Stegodyphus mimosarum. It matches the Rfam family "tRNA". Rfam says of the family: Transfer RNA (tRNA) molecules are approximately 80 nucleotides in length. Their secondary structure includes four short double-helical elements and three loops (D, anti-codon, and T loops). Further hydrogen bonds mediate the characteristic L-shaped molecular structure. tRNAs have two regions of fundamental functional importance: the anti-codon, which is responsible for specific mRNA codon recognition, and the 3' end, to which the tRNAs corresponding amino acid is attached (by aminoacyl-tRNA synthetases). tRNAs cope with the degeneracy of the genetic code in two manners: having more than one tRNA (with a specific anti-codon) for a particular amino acid; and 'wobble' base-pairing, i.e. permitting non-standard base-pairing at the 3rd anti-codon position. Lineage: Eukaryota; Metazoa; Arthropoda; Arachnida; Araneae; Eresidae. The record is from Rfam by way of RNAcentral.